Molecule: long non-coding RNA, 2303 nt
Organism: Manacus vitellinus (golden-collared manakin)
Lineage: Eukaryota; Metazoa; Chordata; Aves; Passeriformes; Pipridae
Source: Ensembl
GGAAGUCCGAAGUUCUCCAGACCCGGAGCGGGGAGAAGGUGAGUCUGGAAUUCCAGGAAUCCCAGGAAUUCCGGGAAUCCCAGAAAUCCCAGCCCCUCCUGGCCCUUCCCCCCCCUCCCUGAGCCCCCCGGGCCCUUCCCGGGGCCCUUCCCGCUUUUCCAGACCCUGAAAUUCCUGCGCAAUUCCCGCCUGGAGGUCGGGAUGAGGAACAACGUCCCGUGGGAGCUGAACCCCGAGAUCGUGGCCCGGCACUUCCUCAAGAACGUGAGCCAGUCCCAGCAUUCCCAACAUUCCCAGUGUCCCCAGCAUUCCCAACAGUCCCAGCAUUCCCAACAUUCCCGACAUUCCCAGCAUUCCUGACAUUCCCAGCAUUCCCAGCAUUCCUGGCCCCAAAUCCUGGGAUUUGCCCUUCCCAGCACCCAAAUCCCAGGAUUUGGGGUCAUUCCUGGCAUUUUUGGGGGUCAUUCCCAAGAUUAUUUGGGGUCAUUCCCAGCAUUCCCAACAUUCCCAACAUUCCCAGCAUUCCCAGCAUUCCCAACAUUCCUGGCCCCAAAUCCUGGGAUUUGGGGUCAUUCCUGGCAUUUUUUGGGGUCAUUCCCGAGAUUUUUUGGGGUCAUUCCCAGCAUUCCCUGAUUUUUGGGAUCUUUCCUGGGUUUCUUUGGGGUCAUUCCCUGAUUUUUGGGGUCAUUCCCAGCAUUCCUUGGGGUCAUUCCAGGGAUUCUUUGGGGUCAUUCCCUCCAUUCCCUGAUUUUUGGGGUCAUUCCCAGGAUUCUUUAGGAUCAUUGCCAGCAUUCCUUGGGGUCAUUCCCUGAUUUUUGGGGUCAUUCCCAGCAUUCCUUGGGGUCAUUCCCUGAUUUUUGGGGUCAUUCCCAGCAUUCCUUGGGGUCAUUCCCUGAUUUUUGGGGUCAUUCCCAGCAUUCCUUGGGGUCAUUCCCUGAUUUUUGGGGUCAUUCCCAGCAUUCCUUGGGGUCAUUCCCUGAUUUUUGGGGUCAUUCCCAGCAUUCCUUGGGGUCAUUCCCUGAUUUUUGGGGUCAUUCCCAGCAUUCCUUGGGGUCAUUCCCAGGAUUCUUUGGGGUCAUUCCCUGAUUUCUGGGGUCAUUCCCAGCAUUCCUUGGGGUCAUUCCAGGGAUCCUUUGGGCUCAUUCCCAGGAUUCCUUGGGGUCAUUCCCUGAUUUUUGGGGUCAUUCCUGGGUUUCUUUGGGGUCAACCCCGACAUCGUGGCCCGGCACUUCCUCAAGAACGUGAGACAGUCCCAGCAUUCCCAACAUUCCCAGCAUUCCCAGCAUUCCCAGCAUUCCCGGCCCCAAAUCCUGGGAUUUGCCCUUCCCAGCACCCAAAUCCCGGGAUUUGGGGUCAUUCCUGGCAUUUUUUGGGGGUCAUUCCCAAGAUUAUUUGGGGUCAUUCCCAGCAUUCCCAACAUUCCCAACAUUCCCAGCAUUCCCAGCAUUCCCAACAUUCCUGGCCCCAAAUCCUGGGAUUUGGGGUCAUUCCUGGCAUUUUUUGGGGUCAUUCCCGAGAUUUUUUGGGGUCAUUCCCAGCAUUCCCUGAUUUUUGGGAUCUUUCCUGGGAUUCCUUGGGGUCAUUCCCUGAUUUUUGGGGUCAUUCCUGGGAUUCCUUGGGGUCAUUCCCUGAUUUUUGGGGUCAUUCCUGGGUUUCUUUGGGGUCAACCCCGACAUCGUGGCCCGGCACUUCCUCAAGAACGUGAGACAGUCCCAGCAUUCCCAACAUUCCCAGCAUUCCCAGCAUUCCCAGCAUUCCCGGCCCCAAAUCCUGGGAUUUGCCCUUCCCAGCACCCAAAUCCCGGGAUUUGGGGUCAUUCCUGGCAUUUUUUGGGGUCAUUCCUGAGAUUUUUUGGGGUCAUUCCCAAGAUUAUUUGGGGUCAUUCCCAGCAUUCCCAACAGUCCCAGCAUUCCCAGCAUUCCCGACAUUCCUGGCCCCAUAUCCCGGGAUUUGCCCUUCCCAGCAUCCAAAUUCCAGGAUUUGGGGUCAUUCCUGGCAUUUUUGGGGGUCAUUCCUGAGAUUUUUUGGGGUCAUUCCCAGGUUUCCUUGGGCUCAUUCCCACAUUCCCAUUCCCAGCUGGGGGUGUUCCCCCAUUCCCAAUUCCCCCAUUCCCAGGUUCAUUCCCAGUGUCAUUCCCACAUUCCCAGCUGGGGGUGUUCCCCCAUUCCCAUUCCCGUUCCCAGUGUCCAUUCCCCCAUUCCCAGUGUUAUUCCCAUUCCUAGCUGGGGGUGUUCCCCCAUUCCCAUUGUUAUUCCCCCAUUCCCAGACUCAUUCCCAUUCCCAGGGCUCAUUCCCAGUGUUCA